This 440-nucleotide ribosomal RNA is filed under the name uncultured bacterium. Its description in RNAcentral is "partial 16S ribosomal RNA". It matches the Rfam family "Bacterial small subunit ribosomal RNA", at positions 338 to 795 of the family's 1533-position model. The record is from RNAcentral.
CCUACGGGAGGCAGCAGUGGGGGAUAUUGCACAAUGGGGGGAACCCUGAUGCAGCGACGCCGCGUGUGGGAAGACGGUCCUCUGGAUUGUAAACCACUGUCCCCAGGGACGAAAAUGACGGUACCUGGGGAGGAAGCUCCGGCUAACUACGUGCCAGCAGCCGCGGUAUUACGUAGGGAGCGAGCGUUGUCCGGUAUUACUGGGUGUAAAGGGAGCGUAGGCGGGGAUGAAAGUUGGGUGUAAAAACUACCGGCUCAACUGGUAGUCGCACUUAAAACUGCAGCUCUUGAGUGAAGUAGGGGCAGGCGGAAUUCCUAGUGUAGCGGUGAAAUGCGUAGAUAUUAGGAGGAACACCAGUGGCGAAGGCGGCCUGCUGGGCUUUUACUGACGCUGAGGCUCGAAAGUGUGGGGAGCAAACAGGAUUAGAUACCCGUGUAGUC